GCCUUUGUGGUGUAGUGGUCAGUACGCUGGGCGCGUAUUCCAGAAGUCCGUGGUUCGAGUCUCGGCAAAGGCG
This 73-nucleotide transfer RNA is filed under the name Stegodyphus mimosarum. It matches the Rfam family "tRNA". Rfam says of the family: Transfer RNA (tRNA) molecules are approximately 80 nucleotides in length. Their secondary structure includes four short double-helical elements and three loops (D, anti-codon, and T loops). Lineage: Eukaryota; Metazoa; Arthropoda; Arachnida; Araneae; Eresidae. The record is from Rfam by way of RNAcentral.